RNAcentral lists this transfer RNA (73 nucleotides) under Ailuropoda melanoleuca (giant panda). It matches the Rfam family "tRNA". Rfam says of the family: Transfer RNA (tRNA) molecules are approximately 80 nucleotides in length. Their secondary structure includes four short double-helical elements and three loops (D, anti-codon, and T loops). Lineage: Eukaryota; Metazoa; Chordata; Mammalia; Carnivora; Ursidae. The record is from Rfam by way of RNAcentral.
GCCUGGCUGGCUCAAUCGGAAGAGCAUGAGACUCUGGAUCUCUGGGUUAUAAGUUCAAGCCUCACGUUGGGUU